RNAcentral lists this ribosomal RNA (393 nucleotides) under Triticum aestivum (bread wheat). RNAcentral describes it as "partial small subunit ribosomal RNA". Lineage: Eukaryota; Viridiplantae; Streptophyta; Magnoliopsida; Poales; Poaceae. The record is from RNAcentral.
AUGCAGCGACCGGCGCGGGUGGGCGACGAAACGGAACACUGGAGGCCGAUAGCGAGGCGUCGCUGGGCGUGGCGCCGGACGGGCCAGGGGGCGGGGCGGCAGUGCGUGUGCACGCGCCGGCCACGCCGACCGAGACGAGAGCGGCGGGGGCCACCGGCCACGCCACGCCACGCCACGGACGGCAACUUGCUUGCGCUCGCCCCUCCGGCCACCCACUGGGCUGGGCUGGGCUGGCCGGUUUUAAUAAUCGACCGGCACGGCACGCACGCACGCACGCAUGCCGCGCUGGAACCGUCCAACCGCCGGCCGGCGGGCGGAGUCGGCAGUGGAAUUCCAGGGCAGGAGCAUUAUCCGCCGAUCCGUAUCAUGCGCCUCUUAAUCUAUCAUGAUUAG